CACCCUUUGAAAACUUUGUUCUUUGGUUCUUUGCAAUAAAUGUUGCUGCUGCUCACUCUUCGGGUCUGCACUGGCUUUAUGAGCUGUAACACUCACUGCGAAGGUCUGCAGCUUCACUCCUGGAGCCAGUGAGACCCCGAGCCCACCGGGAGGACCGAAGAACUUCAGAUGCGCCGCGUUAAGAGCUGUAACACUCACCGCGAAGGUCUGCAGCUUCACUCCUGAGCCAGCGAGACCACGAACCCACCAGAAGGAAGAAACUCGGAACACAUCCGAAUAUCAGUAGGAACAAACUCCGGACACGCCGCUUUUAAGAACUGUAACACUCACCUCGAGGGUCCGCGGCUUCAUUCUUGAAGUCAGGGAGACCAAGAACCCCCCAAUUCCGGACACAGGGGGACUUGGCUGCUUCCUGUUUCUAUCAUAGACGCAGCUGGCCUCAGAAUAUUCCACUUAUGGAUGAAAGAAUGAUAGUGUUAUUUUAUGGAAGAAUUUAAGAAGAUGUUGCGGUAUCAUCGACUUUAUUUUUUGUUCAUUCUGAAAAUCACAUCGCCAGAUCCAACACCUUUUUAUCCCAAUCACCAGUACAAGCCACCCGUAUCAGUGUACACUGUGGCUGACCGAUCCAUAGUGAUGCUUUGAGCACAAGGAAGGACUUUCUGGAAUCUACUUAUCUGACCAAGAAAGCUUCUUUCCAAAAGAAAUGCAAUUGUCUUGAGACUUCUUCCCUAGGGAUCUGAUCAACUAACCAGAAAAGAGCAACCACCAGAGAAGAGACUGUGGGUGUCAUUGUGACUGGCUGCUACCUCCCCAUGAGUCUUCUAAAAUAAAACCUGCAAAUUCACAUCUUCCCCAUGCUUCCAGAGAAUGCAUAUUCUUCCUUUGAAAAAAGAAAACCAGGUAGUCGUACAGUGUCCAGAAGGCAAAAGGACAAGUAUGCACUGCCCUACUUACCUACUUUCCACACUGCUGCACAGGAAAAUCUGACAGAGGACAAUAACAAACAUCUCACCAGCUCAUGCGUUCUUUUUUGAUCCUAAUUCCGAGAGACUCACCAAAGACAUGAAGAGAAAACAAACAAUACUUUUCUUGGAAAUAUUGUAAUUGCUGGUACAUUUGUUGUUCUGGCAUAAAGUAGAAAUUGUCAGUUACCAGAACAAUACUCAGUGAACUUAUGAAUAUAUGGUAAAUAUUAAACACAUCCCACUUGGAUGAGAAGAUAUGUGAGUCGAUGAGUAUAGCUAAGUCUAAAGUUAGAUGUGUUCCAUAAACAUAGUGUUUAUGGAGUUGGUGCAUAUUCAC
Molecule: long non-coding RNA, 1302 nt
Filed under: Homo sapiens (human)
Lineage: Eukaryota; Metazoa; Chordata; Mammalia; Primates; Hominidae
Description: HSALNT0320901
Source: RNAcentral